Molecule: ribosomal RNA, 889 nt
Filed under: uncultured bacterium
Lineage: Bacteria
Description: bacterial SSU rRNA
Rfam family: Bacterial small subunit ribosomal RNA
Source: RNAcentral
AGAGUUUGAUCCUGGCUCAGAACGAACGUUGGCGGCGUGGAUUAGGCAUGCAAGUCGAACGAAUCCCAGCGGUGUAGCAAUACACUGCUGGGGGAAGUGGCGAAAGGGGCAGUAAGGCGUGGGUAACCUACCCCGGGGACGGGCAUAGCCACUCUAACGAGUGGGUAAUUCCCGGCGAUCUGGCCGAGGGGCAUCUCCUGGCCAGGAAAUGAAUUUCGCCUCGGGAGGGGCUCACGUGGUAUUAGCUAGUUGGUGGGGUAACGGCCCACCAAGGCAACGAUGCCUAGCGGGUGUGAGAGCACGACCCGCGCCACUGGCACUGAGACACUGGCCAGACUCCUACGGGAGGCUGCAGUCGAGGAUCUUCGGCAAUGGGCGCAAGCCUGACCGAGCGACGCCGCGUGCGCGAUGAAGGCCUUCGGGUUGUAAAGCGCUUUGGUGGGGGAGGAAAGCCGAAAGGUCUGACCAACCCCAAGAACAAGCACGGGCUAAGUUCGUGCCAGCAGCCGCGGUAAGACGAACCGUGCGAACGUUGUUCGGAAUCACUGGGCUUAAAGGGCGCGUAGGCGGCUCGCCAAGUCCGGGGUGAAAUCCUCCAGCUCAACUGGAGAAGUGCCUCGGAUACUGGCGAGCUCGAGCGAGGUAGGGGCAGCUGGAACUUCCGGUGGAGCGGUGAAAUGCGUUGAUAUCGGAAGGAACGCCGGUGGCGAAAGCGAGCUGCUGGACCUCUUCUGACGCUGAGGCGCGAAAGCCAGGGGAGCAAACGGGAUUAGAUACCCCGGUAGUCCUGGCCCUAAACGAUGGGUACUAGGUUGUGGGCUUGACAUGGGCUCACAGCCGAAGCAAAAGUGUUAAGUACCCCGCCUGGGGAGUAUGGUCGCAAGGCUGA